UAGGGAAUCUUCGUCAAUGGGGGGAACCCUGACCGAGCAACGCCGCGUGAGUGAAGAAGGUUUUCGGAUCGUAAAGCUCUGUUGUUAAGGAAGAACGAGUGUGAGAAUGGAAAGUUCAUGCUGUGACGGUACUUAACCAGAAAGGGACGGCUAACUACGUGCCAGCAGCCGCGGUAAUACGUAGGUCCCGAGCGUUGUCCGGAUUUAUUGGGCGUAAAGCGAGCGCAGGCGGUUAGAAAAGUCUGAAGUGAAAGGCAGUGGCUCAACCAUUGUAGGCUUUGGAAACUGUUUAACUUGAGUGCAGAAUGGGAGAGUGGAAUUCCGUGUGUGGCGGUGAAAUGCGUAGAUAUAUGGAGGAACACCGGUGGCGAAAGCGGCUCUCUGGUCUGUAACUGACGCUGAGGCUCGAAAGCGUGGGGAGCGAACAGG
RNAcentral lists this ribosomal RNA (429 nucleotides) under Bacteroidota bacterium. RNAcentral describes it as "Bacteroidetes bacterium partial 16S ribosomal RNA". It matches the Rfam family "Bacterial small subunit ribosomal RNA", at positions 355 to 776 of the family's 1533-position model. Lineage: Bacteria; Pseudomonadati; Bacteroidota. The record is from RNAcentral.